UGCCCGGUGGUGUAGUGGCAACACAAAGGACUUUGAAUCCUUUGACCCAGGUUCGAAUCCUGGCCGGGCAGCCA
RNAcentral lists this transfer RNA (74 nucleotides) under SAR202 cluster bacterium. RNAcentral's name for it is "tRNA-Gln". It matches the Rfam family "tRNA". From Rfam's summary of the family: Transfer RNA (tRNA) molecules are approximately 80 nucleotides in length. Their secondary structure includes four short double-helical elements and three loops (D, anti-codon, and T loops). Lineage: Bacteria; Bacillati; Chloroflexota; Dehalococcoidia. The record is from RNAcentral.